GACGAACGCUGGCGGCGUGCUUAACACAUGCAAGUCGAACGGUAAGGCCCUUCGGGGUACACGAGUGGCGAACGGGUGAGUAACACGUGGGUGAUCUGCCCUGCACUUCGGGAUAAGCCUGGGAAACUGGGUCUAAUACCGGAUAGGACCACUGCCUGCAUGGGUGGUGGUGGAAAGCUUUUGCGGUGUGGGAUGGGCCCGCGGCCUAUCAGCUUGUUGGUGGGGUGAUGGCCUACCAAGGCGACGACGGGUAGCCGGCCUGAGAGGGUGACCGGCCACACUGGGACUGAGGUACGGCCCAGACUCCUACGGGAGGCAGCAGUGGGGAAUAUUGCACAAUGGGUGCAAGCCUGAUGCAGCGACGCCGCGUGAGGGAUGACGGCCUUCGGGUUGUAAACCUCUUUCAGCACCGACGAAGCGCAAGUGACGGUAGGUGCAGAAGAAGGACCGGCCAACUACGUGCCAGCCGCCGCAGUAA
Molecule: ribosomal RNA, 478 nt
Filed under: uncultured bacterium
Lineage: Bacteria
Description: partial 16S ribosomal RNA
Rfam family: Bacterial small subunit ribosomal RNA
Source: RNAcentral